RNAcentral lists this unclassified non-coding RNA (202 nucleotides) under Ascomycota sp. Its description in RNAcentral is "partial contains small subunit ribosomal RNA, internal transcribed spacer 1, and 5.8S ribosomal RNA". The stretch from base 1 to 47 matches the Rfam family "Eukaryotic small subunit ribosomal RNA", at positions 1785 to 1831 of the family's 1831-position model. Lineage: Eukaryota; Fungi; Ascomycota. The record is from RNAcentral.
AAAGUCGUAACAAGGUUUCCGUAGGUGAACCUGCGGAAGGAUCAUUACAAAUCUAGCAGUGCGCUGCGCGCUUUUAGUGCGCAGCGCCACUCGAGCGCGGCCACGCGCAAGCGUGGCUCGACGUCCACCCGUCUACCGUGUGACUGUACGCAAUGCAAAACAAAACCAAAGACAACUUUUAACAAUGGAUCUCUUGGCUCUU